Molecule: transfer RNA, 131 nt
Filed under: Cordyceps militaris CM01
Lineage: Eukaryota; Fungi; Ascomycota; Sordariomycetes; Hypocreales; Cordycipitaceae
Rfam family: tRNA
About the family: Transfer RNA (tRNA) molecules are approximately 80 nucleotides in length. Their secondary structure includes four short double-helical elements and three loops (D, anti-codon, and T loops). Further hydrogen bonds mediate the characteristic L-shaped molecular structure. tRNAs have two regions of fundamental functional importance: the anti-codon, which is responsible for specific mRNA codon recognition, and the 3' end, to which the tRNAs corresponding amino acid is attached (by aminoacyl-tRNA synthetases). tRNAs cope with the degeneracy of the genetic code in two manners: having more than one tRNA (with a specific anti-codon) for a particular amino acid; and 'wobble' base-pairing, i.e. permitting non-standard base-pairing at the 3rd anti-codon position.
Source: Rfam by way of RNAcentral
GCUUUGGUGGCCAAGUGGUAAGGCGUCGCACUUGGUUAGUAGCUCUGAUCUGCCACUGUACAUUCCCAAAUCCCAUUCUAACAACUCGAAAAGUAAUGCGAAGACCGUGGGUUCGAAUCCCAUCCGAAGCA